GACGAACGCUGGCGGCGUGCUUAACACAUGCAAGUCGAACGGAAAGGCCCUGCUUUUGUGGGGUGCUCGAGUGGCGAACGGGUGAGUAACACGUGAGUAACCUGCCCUUGACUUUGGGAUAACUUCAGGAAACUGGGGCUAAUACCGGAUAGGAGCUCCUGCUGCACGGUGGGGGUUGGAAAGUUUCGGCGGUUGGGGAUGGACUCGCGGCUUAUCAGCUUGUUGGUGGGGUAGUGGCUUACCAAGGCUUUGACGGGUAGCCGGCCUGAGAGGGUGACCGGCCACAUUGGGACUGAGAUACGGCCCAGACUCCUACGGGAGGCAGCAGUGGGGAAUAUUGCACAAUGGGCGGAAGCCUGAUGCAGCAACGCCGCGUGCGGGAUGACGGCCUUCGGGUUGUAAACCGCUUUCGCCUGUGACGAAGCGUGAGUGACGGUAAUGGGUAAAGAAGCACCGGCUAACUACGUGCCAGCAGCCGCGGUGAUACGUAGGGUGCGAGCGUUGUCCGGAUUUAUUGGGCGUAAAGGGCUCGUAGGUGGUUGAUCGCGUCGGAAGUGUAAUCUUGGGGCUUAACCCCUGAGCGUGCUUUCGAUACGGGUUGACUUGAGGAAAGGUAGGGAGAAAUGGGAAUUCCUGUUGGAGCGGUGGAAAUGCGCAGAUAUCAGGAGGAACACCAGUGGCGAAGGCGGGUCUCUGGGCCUUUCCUGACGCUGAGGAGCGAAAGCGUGGGGAGCGAACAGGCUUAGAUACCCUGGUAGUCCACGCUGUAAACGGUGGGUACUAGGUGUGGGGUCCAUUCCACGGGUUCCGUGCCGUAGCUAACGCUUUAAGUACCCGCCUGGGGAGUACGGCCGCAAGGCUAAAACUCAAAGGAAUUGACGGGGCCCCGCACAAGCGGCGGAGCAUGCGGAUUAAUUCGAUGCAACGCGUAGAACCUUACCUGGGUUUGACAUGGAUCGGGAGUGCUCAGAGAUGGGUGUGCCUCUUUUGGGGUCGGUUCACAGGCGGUGCAUGCCUGUCGUCAGCUCGUGUCGUGAGAUGUUGGGUUAAGUCCCGCAACGAGCGCAACCCUUGUUCACUGUUGCCAGCACGUUAUGGUGGGGACUCAGUGGAGACCGCCGGGGUCAACUCGGAGGAAGGUGGGGAUGACGUCAAGUCCUCAUGCCCCUUAUGUCCAGGGCUUCACGCAUGCUACAAUGGCUGGUACAGAGAGUGGCGAGCCUGUGAGGGUGAGCGAAUCUCGGAAAGCCGGUCUCAGUUCGGAUUGGGGUCUGCAACUCGACCUCAUGAAGUCGGAGUCGCUAGUAAUCGCAGAUCAGCAACGCUGCGGUGAAUACGUUCCCGGG
This 1346-nucleotide ribosomal RNA is filed under the name uncultured bacterium. RNAcentral describes it as "16S ribosomal RNA". It matches the Rfam family "Bacterial small subunit ribosomal RNA", at positions 28 to 1378 of the family's 1533-position model. The record is from RNAcentral.